CCUCUCCAAGGAUGACUUGCACUGGGCUCUGAGUCUAUAUGGAGAUAACGUGCAUCUUUGGCCCUGACAAGCCAAAGAGUCUGAGGAGAAU
This 91-nucleotide small nucleolar RNA is filed under the name Cynoglossus semilaevis (tongue sole). The record is from RNAcentral. Lineage: Eukaryota; Metazoa; Chordata; Actinopteri; Pleuronectiformes; Cynoglossidae.